Non-coding RNA from Gossypium hirsutum (cotton), 107 nucleotides. The record is from Rfam. Lineage: Eukaryota; Viridiplantae; Streptophyta; Magnoliopsida; Malvales; Malvaceae.
AUUCUAUGAUGAAAGCAUCUUUGUAAUAAUUCUUUAAAUCUUUCCCACACCUCACACAAGGAUUCACCAUCCAUUUUUUGGAAGGUAAUGAUAUCAUUCCGCAACUU